Equus caballus (horse) is the source of this 1824-nucleotide non-coding RNA. The record is from RefSeq and is a predicted model, not a curated record. NCBI's taxonomy places the organism in Eukaryota, Metazoa, Chordata, Mammalia, Perissodactyla, Equidae.
GCCGCCUGCAGCGGAGCGCGCGAACUUAACCACUCGGCCACGGGGCGAGCCCCCCAAUAUAUCCUAUUACUUGCCAUUUUUAUUUGACAGCUUUAACCAGGCUGUUUCCGGAUUCUGUGAUCAACUGUAGUCAACUAUCUGCGAUCAGCACUAUGAAGAGAAAGAAGCCCACACGGAGAAAGUCUUCCUGGCCAAUUCCAUAAGGAAAAGUGCACCUGUUUGGAAACCAGGAGACGUGGAUUCUGGCCGAGGUCUGCAAUUACCUCUCUGGGUGACCUUGGCACUUAAUGAAAUCUGAAAGCAUCUCAGUUAUUCAUCGUUUGCCUGUCUCUUGCUGUCUCCCCCAUGAGAAGAGAAGUUGGAUGAACAGAACAGGAUGAAGGCAGGGGUCUUAAUCUGCCUUGGACAUCGCUGAAUAGCCUGCUCCAAGAAUUGCACAUGGAAGAGUAGGCGCUCAGUAGUUGUUUGUUGAAUGAAUAAACGGAUGAAGUCGUGAUCAGCUGGAGGCAGCCUGUGCUUGUUGGCCUGUCUCCUCUCCUCUCCUCCCCAUCUGCUGGCCCAGCCUUCCAGUCAAAUCCAGAGCCCACGCACACACUCCUCACUAUUUCUCGCUCCUGUCUUGGUAAAAGCUUCAUACGCUUGUGCCGUGUGUGGGUCAGGGCUCUUGGUUGCAAGCAGCAGAAUUUAGUCCUGCCAGUGAGAUUAGAGACUGGAAGUGUGAAAGCCUGUCGGGUAGCUCAGGCCCAUCUGUCAGACUCGGAAGUCACACAGCCAGUAACAUGGCCCCAAAAUCACACCAUAGAACUAGUCCCUCGGUGACAUCUCUGGUGCCUCCACUGGACACCCCAGCUCACACUGUAAAAAGCACAGGACACACUGAAGAUGCCCCCAGAACACUGCAAUUGCCCCCUACGGAAACUGACUAUAGCUCCUUCCACUGGAACCACCCAUUGGUGAGUGGCUAAAAGGAAGAACAAAUGUCCACUGAACUCUCUGGGCAACUGGCCACAAAGGUAGACACUGUGACCCAUAGCCCCUUCUCUUACCACACUAGAAGGCCGCUCUGGACCGUCCCCCAAUUACCCCAGUUUCCCCUAUCUUCUGGGGCUGGAGCAGCCUACGUCAUGUAAACACAGCCCUGUGGGCCCCCAAGCUUUUCACCUCUUUCCCUCAAAGCAAGAGGUGGUGGCUGAGUCGAAGUUGGAGCAGUCAACCUCAGGGUCUAGGUGGUGAUGCCUCAAGAGUCUUCUAGACUCAACUCAGAGCCCGCCCUUGAGAGAGGACUGGGCGGAGGAAAGGCCCCCAGGUGUUGAAGGGACAAGGAGACUCCUUCCUCCCUUGCUUCCUUUCACAAACAUUCAUGGAAUGUCUCCUAUGCGUGAAGCAACGUCCUAGAAGCUGGUGUGAGAGAACAGGCGUGGUCCCACUGCCGUGGGCGAACUGAGACCAUCCACCCUAGAGCUUCCUCUGGCCUGUGGCCAGAAGUGCUGACCGUUGACGACCCUGGAACCCUCAGCCGGCGGCACACAGGAAUCAGAGGAGGAAUGUUCCAGACUUAGUUCCAGUUGCCCAGGCUGGGGAUGCCCUGUCUCCCUCCCCUCCCCGAGUGUGCUUCCCAGGACCACCUCCCACAUAAACUGCUUGCACUAAAAUCCUUGUCGGGGGGCGGGGGGGGGGGGGUCCGCUUCUGGGAAACCCAACCAAAGCCACGUAGAACGUUCAAAAGGGAACAUAUGACAACAAUAUAGAGAGUAAGGGGGGUGAGUGAGGGGCUCUGUUGGAGAGGGCUGUCCGGGAGGGAGUGGAAGCCGCCCCUCUGGUAAA